GGUUGAUCCUGCCAGUAGUCAUAUGCUUGUCUCAAAGAUUAAGCCAUGCAUGUCUCAGUACAAGCCAAAUUAAGGUGAAACCGCGAAAGGCUCAUUAAAUCAGUUAUGGUUCCUUAGAUCGUACCCACAAUUACUUGGAUAACUGUGGUAAUUCUAGAGCUAAUACAUGCAAACAGAGCUCCGACCGGAGACGGAAGGAGUGCUUUUAUUAGAUCAAAACCAAUCGGUGGCGGGUUCGCUCGUCAUCGUACAACUUGGUGACUCUGAAUAACUUUACGCUGAUCGCACGGUCACCGCACCGGCGACGCAUCUUUCAAAUGUCUGCCUUAUCAACUGUCGAUGGUAGGUUCUGCGCCUACCAUGGUUGUAACGGGUAACGGGGAAUCAGGGUUCGAUUCCGGAGAGGGAGCCUGAGAAACGGCUACCACAUCCAAGGAAGGCAGCAGGCGCGCAAAUUACCCACUCCCGGCACGGGGAGGUAGUGACGAAAAAUAACGAUACGGGACUCAUCCGAGGCCCCGUAAUCGGAAUGAGUACACUCUAAACCCUUUAACGAGGAUCAAUUGGAGGGCAAGUCUGGUGCCAGCAGCCGCGGUAAUUCCAGCUCCAAUAGCGUAUAUUAAAGUU
This 627-nucleotide ribosomal RNA is filed under the name Salcus elevatus. RNAcentral describes it as "SSU rRNA". It matches the Rfam family "Eukaryotic small subunit ribosomal RNA", at positions 6 to 611 of the family's 1831-position model. The record is from RNAcentral. Lineage: Eukaryota; Metazoa; Arthropoda; Insecta; Coleoptera; Curculionidae.